RNAcentral lists this long non-coding RNA (3262 nucleotides) under Nicotiana benthamiana. RNAcentral describes it as "long non-coding RNA (NBEN_LNC040746)". The record is from RNAcentral. Lineage: Eukaryota; Viridiplantae; Streptophyta; Magnoliopsida; Solanales; Solanaceae.
CCCCCUCAAAACUGUCCCCCUCAUUCACCCUCAUCAGAGGCCCAAUCCCAAAACCCUAGAGCUGCCCUAAAAGCCUCAUCUCAUCUGGUGGCGGCGCCAGCUCCAUUCACCAACAAAUGAAUACCCUAGUAUCUCCUCACUCUCCACACCCCCAAUCCACAAUCAAGUUCCUUCGAACAUGCCCAUAACCCUUCGAAUAUGGGUCUAAAACCAAGAACCCCAGCGCCACCCAACUUUUCACGGUGGCGGCGCCACCCCAAACCCAACCAAAAUAACACCAGAUAAUCACCAAAAGACCCUAUACCCUAAUCCAUGGUCAGUUACCCACGAAUCAUCUUCAAACUCUUCUAAAUCCCAGAUCACAGUCGGCCCCUAAUGUAAAAACUGAGUCUCUACUUUGUCCUUUGUCUAAAAUGAUUUUAUUCAUUCGUUCUCUAUUAGGACAUACGAUUAAUAUCAUGUUUAAACCGGGCAUUCAAAGUUUGGGGGUUUUGAGCUUCCUUUUAUUUUUUUCUUGGUCUGGAUAAUAGUAAGUUUUCUUUUCUCUCUGUUUGUUUUAAGUAAUUAGUUAAUUAAUUUUUUCCUUUCUUAAUUAUCUUGCUAUCUCUGUUUACCCUUAUUUUUCUCUUGGCUUGGUUUCUGCAUGUGACUGUUUCAAAUAAUAUUUAGUUUUGUUUAUCUCCUGGUUUAGUCGGGUCGUCCCUGUUAAUCACUCAUCACUAAGGGCUGAGUUGAUUUUGUGAUGGUCAGAAUUUUCGAGUUUUUUUUGGGUCGUUUGGGCCUCAUUUUUGAUUGUGAAGUUAUCCGUAGACCCAAUAGUGAAUUCAUUUGUGUCCAUUCAGACCCAUUAAAUUGGGUCGUGUGGCCCAGACCCUUAAUUGUUAGACUUAGGUAAUUUCAGGGGGGUUGGAGGGGUAAUACACUUAGGGAAUCUUUAGUAACUGAUUGUAGAAGUCUCUAGUAGGAGUUCUGUGGGGAUUUCAUAGUUCUGGCUAUUUAAACUUGGGCACCAAGUUAUUAAUUGGAGGACUAGAUAUCAAAAAGGAAAAGUGAACCUAUAUAAGGUAAUAUUCUUGCCUUUGAAGGCAAGACUUGGAGAUUUAAAAAUCUGGAAAAAAUACGGCUGGAAAUUCUUGACUAUUGCAUUGAAUUUAAUAUCUUUUGAUAAUAAAUCUAACUCACUAAAAUAUCUUUUUAAUUUACUAAGUGUGUGAGAUGGUGUGAGUUAAAAUACCAGCUGGGUUAGAAGUUUGGUGCUGGAGUUACUGUUCCAUUGGGUUUUUAUUUUCUGAGAUUUAUUUUGGUGCGAGCUUGUUUGAAUAUUGCAAUAUGUGGGGCUGUAUUCUCUAUUCUGGUAUCGAUUUUGGGUGUUGUUUGUUUCCUCCUGCUGAAACUCACUUCUUCUUACUCUUAUUUCCAGGUAUCUUCCUAGGCUAAUGAACUGUUCUUAAAUGUUGAUCUUGUCAUCCAAUGACUAUGGUGGAAUACAAAGUGCGUUUCAACUCAACUAUUUCUCUAGCUCUUCUUUGUUUUCUAUUAUAUGUGAGCCUACAAUAUUAGGCACUAGAUGAGUUGAUUUAGCAUGCUGUAGAUUUGGUUCUGAGUUUGUGUUUUAACAUUAGGCUUCAUCUAUUGAGCAGCAUGAUUAGUGAAUAUGGAUAAAUUUGUAGAUGAAGUUUCUUGUAUAAACAAGUCAUGGACUUUAACUUGUAGUUCUACUUUGAUUUUAUGUUGAAUGACAAGUCUCAUCGUGUUUCUGUUGGGGCAUAAUGGUUUGGUUUUUGCAAAUUCAUCCGGAUUCGUCGAAUUGCUGAAUGAGGGUUGUAGGUUAUUAUUAAGUUUGCUCAGGUUCUGAUUCAAAUGAAUUGGCUCUAUGGAAGUUGGAGUUUAGAUUAAUUUCGAGUUUUGUAAUGGGUAGUAAGCAUGAUGAUCGAACAGUUGUUGAUUUGGAUCCUUAGUCUAAGUGUUUAUCUGGUCACUUUAUUUGAGCAAUUGGAAACAGAGACUGGAAUACAUGCAAAUGGUGUUUGGAUUUUUAUAAUCAAGCAUUUUAUAUUGCUAAGCCACUUUGUGUUCUUGAUGAUAGCUACUGAUUAUAAAAUUAACAUCUAUGUGGAAACAACCAAGUUUCAAUGAGUGGUUAGUGAUUUGUAUAUGCAUUGUGAAUUUGACUAACAACUUUGGGGAAUUAAUUCGAGUAUGUUAAAAGGAGUUGAUCCAGCGGGGUGCAUUGGGCCAUGGGGUUGACGUUUGGGCCCAAGGUUUAAAGUGGCGUGUCCUGUUCCAUCGAUUAAUGAAAUUUGGGCUCACCUUGGGCAUAGAUGCUCCAUUACUGUCGAGUUCAGCUCAUUGCGCUAACACUUGGAGUAGUUAUAAUCUUAGUAGCAUUUAAUCGACUCAUUCAUUCCCUAGACCGGAGGUUGCCAUAUUGAUCCAAUUGAAUAAGUUAUGGCCUUCCCAAAUUAAUGUAGAAGUCUUUAAUUAGAAUAGAUUGAGGUGCACCGCGCCGAACAAAAAUGAUAAAUGCGUGGCCCUCAUAUAAUUAUGUCUUUAAAAUAUUUAGAACUUGAGGUGUGCCAUCUAGCUAAUUUCAUGGCCCUCAUAAAGUUAAACAACAUGUUAUUUUCUUUAGGCACGUACUUUAAUAAUCUACCUUCCUAAACCCGGGUGCGUAUUUAUGUGACCAAAAUCAAAUCUCAAUGACGUUGCAAUUCUCCUUUCAAAAUAACAAAUAAAAGCGAUUAAAAAGGUAAAAUCUGCACAUAGGUUCAAUAUUGUUUAAAAUCAAAUAAACAAGUCGAAUAUGACAGUUGAGCGACUAUGCUAGAACUAUAGAAUCCGGAAUGCCUAACACCUUCUUCCGGGUUAACAAAAUUUAUUACUCGGAUUUCUGGUCGCGGACUGUUAAACAGAAUCAAUAAUUUCCUCGAUUCGGGAUUCAAUUGGUGACUUGGGACACCCUAAAUCUCCCAAGUGGAGACUCUGAAUCUUCUAAUACAAAUCCCAUUUCGAUUGUCCUUUAAUUGAAAAAUUCUUUUACGCCCUUGCAGGGUGUAGAAAACAAGGAGGUGUGACAGCUCUGGCGACUCUGCUGGGGACAUGAACCCAAAACUUUUGGUUCAGGGUUCAGGAAUUCGAGCUUAGAAUAAUUGUUGUAUUUGACUUUGUUUUUGUUAUCUGAUUUUAUUACAUGUUUGGGCCUAAUGUGCUAAGUGAUGCUUUUUACCUCUUGGAUAUUAUUUGAACUGUACAUAUAAACUGU